UUUGGUGGAAAAUAUUAUUGUCUAUAAAGGCCAGGAGUACAUCAUCUACCGUGAAUUUGCAAAGAUGGGGACAUUUUUUAAUUACCCAGUUGAUUCUAAAGAAGUAGGAGUAUUUGUAGUGUCAAAUUUGUCUUCAGAUCUAAAAUGUACAAGGCUGAAUGACGUAUUCAAAUAUUUCAGGAUGCCAUAUGGGGAACAGGGCAGUUUUAUUGUCAUUCCCCUUUUACAUCAAAAAUAACUUUUAAUCCCCCACACCCCCCAACCCCAUCCCUCAGUGUAUUUCAUAGUGAGCUUCAUUAAGACAAAUGAAGUGGAGGUGGUGCCAGGUGUGUGGGUGGAAGGAGAGGUCUGUAAAUGGCCUAACUACAAACCCGAUGCCAUGUUGAAGGCCAUCAAGAACUGUGAGAUGCCUAAGGAGACCUGGACAAGUUAUGACAUCAGGGUUCUUUACAAAGCAAAGAGCUUUAGUGAGGCAAGGUUGAAACUUCGCAGGGCAGAAGAUGACACAGACCUCCAGUCAGAAGCAGAGGAGGGGAGGCCAAAAAAAAGAAAAACCAAGUAUGUCGCAAAUCUGCUGAAUGUGUUGCACUCAGAUUUUGCUCAGUUUGUCUACAUAAUGUUUGUCUUUAAACUAAGGCAUGUAAAAAGAUUUAAGCAUUUAAGUUGCCAAAUUUCUGUAAGAAGUAUCACUGAAAAAAUUGUAUGUGGGGUAGUUGGUGAGAAACCGUAACUGUGGGAUUUAAUUUACUUCAAAACCUUAGUUUUAUUCAUGGAUGGGUCUCUUCAUAGUAGGCAGUGUAAAUGGGCCUUACACGGCUGUAGGGUUGUAAAUAAUUUUAGUUUUUUCUCUUCAAAGACCAAACCAGCACUUCCUCUCGAGUCAGGAGGAGUCUGAUGAGGAGCCUGUGACGCCCAAACUAGUCCUCCCUAAGGUCCCCUCCAUUCCACCUCUGCCGUCACUGUUGCGUGAUGCCAUUUCCUCAUCAGAUGAAAUAUCUCCUCCAGCUAGUAAACUUGCCUCUCUGCUGCCGUUUCACGCCCUUGGACCUCCUGAGCCAUCCUACCAUCUUCCCUCUCAAUCGUCUCGCCACCGUGGAACUCCUGAGCCAUUCCAUCUUGCCCCUCAUGCUGCUUCUGAGAUGGACCUGCACUCUGCAUUACUACGAGAGAUCAUUGCCAAGCAGGAGGUGAUGUGUGAUAUGCAAAGAAAUCUGCUGCGGAUUGUUCAGGAUCUCUCUUCUACACCUACACCACAUGGACACCACAUGGACGGAAGUUUCCUGCCGUUGAGGGAUGCUGAGUCUCUUUUGGCGCUAGACCGCGACAUUAAGACAAACCCAGAGAAGAGAAAGGA
This is a long non-coding RNA of Carassius gibelio (silver crucian carp), 1354 nucleotides long. RefSeq lists it as uncharacterized. The record is from RefSeq and is a predicted model, not a curated record. Lineage: Eukaryota; Metazoa; Chordata; Actinopteri; Cypriniformes; Cyprinidae. The transcript is spliced from 3 exons.